AGGUCAGCAUACUGCCGUGAAUACGUUCCCGGGCCUUGUACACACCGCCCGUCACACCAUGAGAGUUGGGAAUACCCGAAGCCUGUGAGCUAACAUUUAUGAGGCAGCAGUCGAAGGUAGAAUCAAUGAUUGGGGUGAAGUCGUAACAAGGUAAC
This 155-nucleotide ribosomal RNA is filed under the name uncultured bacterium. Its description in RNAcentral is "partial 16S ribosomal RNA". It matches the Rfam family "Bacterial small subunit ribosomal RNA", at positions 1346 to 1500 of the family's 1533-position model. The record is from RNAcentral.